GGAACAAACUCCUCCGGAGGCUUCCGUCACAACGCCGCUGGAUCGAACGGCGGUGCUAAGUACAAGCUCAUGACUCCUGCUAUGCUUCCGAUCUCUAGGUCCGCCUGUAUCACCAUACCUCCCGGUCUCAGUCCUUCCUCCUUCCUCGAAUCUCCUGUUCUCCUUUCUAACAUCAAAGCUGAGCCAUCUCCGACUACAGGUUCCUUCUCCAAAUUUCAAACAGUGCAAGGCUCUGGUGGGGCUGCUGCAUUCUUAUUGACAAGAGGUUAUGCUAGUGGCAAUACAUACACUGAAAGAAAAGCAAGCUGCUUUGAAUACAAAUAUGCCGGUGGAUCUAGUUCUACAUCAGGAUCAUUAGCAACUGAACAUGUGAUUUCUACAGGUCUCAACCAACAACACAAUGAGCCAUUGGAAGAAGUUCAAGAUCAAUGUUAUCCUCAAUUGUUAGUACCUUCAUCUCUAGCUAAACACGAGAUGGAAACAUCAAAAGAACUGAGUUUAUCUGCACCUAUUAAUGUUGAUGCUUCAUCAAAAGAAGAGAGUCUAUAUGAACCUAUUAACGUUGAUGCCAUGAAUCCGAGAGGUCAAUCUAGUGCAAGCAUGCAAGGAUCACAUGCAGAUCAUAAAGAUGUAUUAUCCGUAACAUCUGAAAGAUCAUCAGAUGAUGGGUAUAACUGGCGAAAGUAUGGCCAGAAACUUGUUAAAGGAAGUGAAUUUCCGAGAAGCUAUUACAAAUGUACAUAUCCAAACUGCGAAGUGAAAAAGAUAUUUGAGCGGUCACCUGAAGGACAAAUAACAGAGAUUGUUUAUAAAGGUUCUCAUGAUCAUCCUAAACCCCAACUGAGCCGCCGAUUUUCUCCUGGUGCUCUCAUGUCUGUUCAAGAAGAUAAAUGUGAGAAAGAAGUGUGUUUCAGGGGUCAAGAAGUCUAUGUAGAAGACAAGUUCAACACCAAUGUCCAAACUAGUAAAACUGAGCCUAGUAGUACUCCCGUAUCACCUCAGCAAGCGGACACUGAUGGUCUUGAAGGAGCAGGGUCACAGAUGCAUGGCACUAAUGAUGAUAUGGAUGAGGAUGAUCAAUUUGCGAAAAGAAGGAAAAUGGAUGGUGGGAUGGAUAUAACACCAGUGAUUAAGCCUAUCCGUGAACCACGCGUUGUUGUUCAAACAGUCAGUGAAGUUGAUAUAUUGGAUGAUGGGUACAAGUGGCGCAAAUAUGGACAGAAGGUGGUCCGAGGCAAUCCUAAUCCUAGGAGCUAUUACAAGUGCACCAAUGCUGGAUGCCCUGUCAGGAAACAUGUGGAGAGGGCUUCUCAUGAUCCAAAAGCUGUUAUCACCACAUAUGAAGGAAAACAUAACCACGAUGUACCCGCUGCAAAAAAUAAUAACCAUGAAAUGACAGGAUCCUCGCCUGUAACCGGCAGUUCAAGGAUCAGGGCAGGAGAGACCAACUCACUUAGUCUGGAUCUAGGCGUUAGUACUGGAUAUCGUCUUGAUAAUGGGAACAACGGGCAACUUCACACCCUCCAUCACCAAGUUCAAGUUUCACGUUCUGGUAUGAUGCUAGUACAGCCAGCUGCAGUUGCAGCGCGCUAUGGUAUUGUACAUGGUGGUAUGAGCCGAUUUGGAGCUAUAGAUAAUCGUGUUCAAGGACCUAGUUUUGAAACUUUGCCUUUACAACCUUCUACUCAGUCUCUCCAAAACUAUGGAAAGAUACUUCUUGGCCCGUGAAUCGUAUCUACCAUCAACUAUAAGAGCUUAACAAUAAGAAGCCACCAUCUAUAUUUUUUCCUGCAUCUUGGUGGAUUACAAAGAUAUCUCUAGUUGAAGUAUAAAUACUUCUAGGACUCGUCGCGUGAUGCUGUAUAAUACACCUUCACCUAGUGUUCUUUGUGUACAUAUACCUAGAGUAUAUUAGGAAAUGGAUGACGGAGCAAAUGUCGAUCUCCAACAUCUUUC
This 1956-nucleotide unclassified non-coding RNA is filed under the name Hevea brasiliensis (rubber tree). Lineage: Eukaryota; Viridiplantae; Streptophyta; Magnoliopsida; Malpighiales; Euphorbiaceae. The record is from RNAcentral.